AGGGGAAAAAAAGGGAUUUCUAUGAAAAUAAGCGAUAUUUUAGGGAAAAAACAGGGAUUUCUAUGAAAAUAAGCGAUAUUUUAGGGGAAAAACAGGGAUUUCUAUGAAAAUAAGCGAUAUUUUAGGGGAAAAACAGGGAUUUCUAUGAAAAUAAGCGAUAUUUUAGGGGAAAAACAGGGAUUUCCAUGAAAAUAAGCGAUUUUUUAAGGGGAAAAACAGGGAUUUCUAUGAAAAUAAGCGAUAUUUUUGGGUUAAAAACAGGGAUUUCCAUGAAAACAAGCGGUAUUGAAGGGGAAAGACAGGGAUUUCUAUGAAAAUAAGCGAUAUUUUUGGGUUAAAAACAGGGAUUUCUAUGAAAAUAAGCGAUAUUUUUGGGUUAAAAACAGGGAUUUCUAUGAAAAUAAGCGAUAUUUUAAGGGGAAAAACAGAUUUCUAUGAAAAUAAGCGAUAUUUUAAUUGGAAAAACAGGUAUUUCUAUGAAAAUAAGCGUUAUUUUUGGGUUAAAAACAGGGAUUUUGAUGAAAAUAAGCGAUAUUUUUGGGUUAAAAACAGGGAUUUCUAUGAAAAUAAGCGAUAUUUUUGGGUUAAAAACAGGGAUUUCGAUGAAAAUAAGCGAUAUUUUAGGGUUAAAAACAGGGAUUUCCAUGAAAGUAAGCGAUAUUUAAGGGGAAAAACAGGGAUUUCCAUGAAAAUAAGCGAUAUUUUUGGGUUAAAAACAGGGAUUUCGAUGAAAAAAAGCGAUAUUUUUGGGUUAAAAACAAGGAUUUCGAUGAAAAUAAGCGAUAUUUUAGGGUUAAAAACAGGGAUUUCGACGAAAAUAAGCGAUAUUUUAGGGUUAAAAACAGGGAUUUCGACGAAAAUAAGGGAUGUUUAAGGGGAAAAAAAUGGGAUUUCGACGAAAAUAAGCGAUAUUUAAGGGUUAAAAACUGGGAUUUCUAUGAAAAUAAGCGAUAUUUUAAGGGGAAAAACAGGGAUUUCCAUGAAAAUAAGUGAUAUUUUAAGAGGAAAAACAGGGAUUUCUAUGAAAAUAAGCGAUAUUUUUGGGUUAAAAACAUGGAUUUCUAUGAAAAUAAGCGAUAUUUUUGGGUUAAAAACAGGGAUUUCUAUGAAAAUAAGCGAUAUUUUAAGGGGAAAAACAGAUUUCUAUGAAAAUAAGCGAUAUUUUAAUUGGAAAAACAGGUAUUUCUAUGAAAAUAAGCGUUAUUUUUGGGUUAAAAACAGGGAUUUUGAUGAAAAUAAGCGAUAUUUUUGGGUUAAAAACAGGGAUUUCUAUGAAAAUAAGCGAUAUUUUUGGGUUAAAAACAGGGAUUUCGAUGAAAAUAAGCGAUAUUUUAGGGUUAAAAACAGGGAUUUCCAUGAAAGUAAGCGAUAUUUAAGGGGAAAAACAGGGAUUUCCAUGAAAAUAAGCGAUAUUUUUGGGUUAAUAACAGGGAUUUCGAUGAAAAUAAGCGAUAUUUUUGGAUUAAAAACAAGGAUUUCGAUGAAAAUAAGCGAUAUUUUAGGGUUAAAAACAGGGAUUUCGAUGAAAAUAAGCGAUAUUUUAGGGUUAAAAACAGGGAUUUCCAUGAAAAUAAGCGAUAUUUUAGGGUUAAAAACAGGGAUUUCGACGAAAAUAAGGGAUGUUUAAGGGGAAAAAAUGGGAUUUCGACGAAAAUAAGCGAUAUUUUAGGGUUAAAAACAAGGAUUUCGAUGAAAAUAAGCGAUAUUUUAGGGUUAAAAACAGGGAUUUCCAUGAAAAUAAGCGAUAUUUUAGGGUUAAAAACAGGGAUUCCUAUGAAAAUAAGCGAUAUUUUAAGGUUAAAAACAGGGAUUUCGAUGAAAAUAAGCGAUAUAUUAGGGUUGAAAGCAGGGAUUUCAAUGAAAAUAAGCGAUAUUUAAGGUGAAAAACAGGGAUUUCCGAGAAAAAUAACAGCCUGCGCGGCGCAUGCGCAGUAGGAUGCCUGAGCAGCGCAUGCGCAAUAAGGUGCCUGCGCAGCGCAUGCGCACUAGGGUGCCUGAGCAGCGCAUGCGCAGUAGGGUGCCUGCGCAGCGCAUGCGCAGUAGGUUGCCUGCGCAGCGCAUGCGCAGUAGCGUGCCAGUCUGCCGCACGCGCAGAACGGUGUCUGCCUGGCGCAUUGCUAGAACAAAGCAAUGUUUAAGGGGAAAGACAGGGAUUUCUAUGAAAAUAAGCGAUAUUUUAGGGUUAAAAACAGGGAUUUCGACGAAAAUAAGCGAUAUUUUAGGGUUAAAAACAGGGAUUUCGAUGAAAAUAAGCGAUAUUUAAGGGUUGAAAGCAGGGAUUUCGACGAAAAUAAGGGAUGUUUAAGAGGAAAAAAUGGGAUUUCGACGAAAAUAAGCGAUAUUUUAGGGUUGAAAGCAGGGAUUUCUAUGAAAAUAAGCGAUAUUUUAGGGUUAAAAACAGGGAUUUCGAUGAAAAUAAGAGAUAUUUUAGGGUAAAAAACAGGGAUUUUGAUGAAAAUAAGUGAUUUUUUCGGUUUAAAACAGGGAUUUCUAUGAAAAUAAGCGAUAUUUUAGGGUUAAAAACAUGGAUUUUGAUGAAAAUAAGCGAUAUUUAGGUUAAAAACAAGGUUUUCUAUGAAAAUAAGCGAUAUUUCAGGAUAAAAACAGGGAUUUCCAUGAAUAUAAGCGAUAUUUAAGGGGAAAAACAGGGAUUUCUAUGAAAAUAAGCGAUAUUUAAGGGAAAAAAAAUGGGAUUUCGACGAAAAUAAGCGAUAUUUUAGGGUUAAAAGCAGGGAUUCCUAUGAAAAUAAGCGAUAUUUUAGGGUUAAAAACAGGGAUUUCGAUGAAAAUAAGAGAUAUUUUAGGGUAAAAAACAGGGAUUCCUAUGAAAAUAAGCGAUAUUUAAGGUUAAAAAACAGGGAUUUCUAUGAAAAUAAGCGAUAUUUUAGGGUUAAAAACAGGGAUUUCGACGAAAAUAAGGGAUGUUUAAGGGGAAAAAAUGGGAUUUCGACGAAAAUAAGCGAUAUUUAAGGGUUAAAAACUGGGAUUUCGAUGAAAAUAAGCGAUAUUUAAGGUUAAAAACAGGGAUUUCCAUGAAAAUAAGUGAUAUUUAAGGGGAAAAACAGGGAUUUCUAUGAAAAUAAGCGAUAUUUAAGGGGAAAAACAGGGAUUUCUAUGAAAAUAAGCGAUAUUUUUGGGUUAAAAACAGGGAUUUUGAUGAAAAUAAGCGAUAUUUUUGGGUUAAAAACAGGGAUUUCCAUGAAAAUAAGCGAUAUUUAAGGGGAAAAACAGGGAUUUCCAUGAAAAUAAGCGAUAUUUUAGGGGAAAAACAGGGAUUUCUAUGAAAAUAAGCGAUAUUUUUGGGUUAAAAACAGGGAUUUUGAUGAAAAUAAGCGAUAUUUAAGGGGAAAAACAGGGAUUUCUAUGAAAAUAAGCGAUAUUUUUGGGUUAAAAACAGGGAUUUUGAUGAAAAUAAGCGAUAUUUUUGGGUUAAAAACAGGGAUUUCCAUGAAAAUAAGCGAUUUUUUAAGGGGAAAAACAGGGAUUUCUAUGAAAAUAAGCGAUAUUUUUGGGUUAAAAACAGGGAUUUCCAUGAAAAUAAGCGGUAUUUAAGGGGAAAGACAGGGAUUUCUAUGAAAAUAAGCGAUAUUUUUGGGUUAAAAACAGGGAUUUCUAUGAAAAUAAGCGUUAUUUUUGGGUUAAAAACAGGGAUUUUGAUGAAAAUAAGCGAUAUUUUAAGGGGAAAAACAGAUUUCUAUGAAAAUAAGCGAUAUUUUAAUUGGAAAAACAGGUAUUUCUAUGAAAAUAAGCGUUAUUUUUGGGUUAAAAACAGGGAUUUUGAUGAAAAUAAGCGAUAUUUUUGGGUUAAAAACAGGGAUUUCUAUGAAAAUAAGCGAUAUUUUUGGGUUAAAAACAGGGAUUUCGAUGAAAAUAAGCGAUAUUUUAGGGUUAAAAACAGGGAUUUCCAUGAAAGUAAGCGAUAUUUAAGGGGAAAAACAGGGAUUUCCAUGAAAAUAAGCGAUAUUUUUGGGUUAAAAACAGGGAUUUCGAUGAAAAAAAGCGAUAUUUUUGGGUUAAAAACAAGGAUUUCGAUGAAAAUAAGCGAUAUUUUAGGGUUAAAAACAGGGAUUUCGAUGAAAAUAAGCGAUAUUUUAGGGUUAAAAACAGGGAUUUCGACGAAAAUAAGCGAUAUUUUAGGGUUAAAAACAGGGAUUUCGACGAAAAUAAGCGAUAUUUAAGGUUAAAAAUAGGGAUUUCUAUGAAAAUAAGCGAUAUUUUAGGGGAAAAACAGGGAUUUCCAUGAAAAUAAGCGAUAUUUUAAGGGGAAAAACAGGGAUUUCCAUGAAAAUAAGUGAUAUUUUAAGGGGAAAGACAGGGAUUUCUAUGAAAAUAAGCGAUAUUUUUGGGUUAAAAACAGGGAUUUCUAUGAAAAUAAGCGAUAUUUUUGGGUUAAAAACAGGGAUUUCUAUGAAAAUAAGCGAUAUUUUAAGGGGAAAAACAGAUUUCUAUGAAAAUAAGCGAUAUUUUAGGGUUAAAAACAGGGAUUUCCAUGAAAGUAAGCGAUAUUUAAGGGGAAAAACAGGGAUUUCCAUGAAAAUAAGCGAUAUUUUUGGGUUAAUAACAGGGAUUUCGAUGAAAAUAAGCGAUAUUUUUGGAUUAAAAACAAGGAUUUCGAUGAAAAUAAGCGAUAUUUUAGGGUUAAAAACAGGGAUUUCGAUGAAAAUAAGCGAUAUUUUAGGGUUAAAAACAGGGAUUUCCAUGAAAAUAAGCGAUAUUUUAGGGUUAAAAACAGGGAUUUCGACGAAAAUAAGGGAUGUUUAAGGGGAAAAAAUGGGAUUUCGACGAAAAUAAGCGAUAUUUUAGGGUUAAAAACAAGGAUUUCGAUGAAAAUAAGCGAUAUUUUAGGGUUAAAAACAGGGAUUUCGAUGAAAAUAAGCGAUAUUUUAGGGUUAAAAACAGGGAUUUCGACGAAAAUAAGGGAUGUUUAAGGGGAAAAAAUGGGAUUUCGAUGAAAAUAAGCGAUAUUUAAGGGUUAAAAACUGGGAUUUCGAUGAAAAUAAGCGAUAAUUUAGGGUUAAAAACAGGGAUUCCUAUGAAAAUAAGCGAUAUUUUAGGGUUAAAAACAGGGAUUUCGAUGAAAAUAAGCGAUAUUUCAGGUUUAAAACAGGGAUUUCCAUGAAAAUAAGCGAUAUUUUAGGGUUAAAAACAGGGAUUCCUAUGAAAAUAAGCGAUAUUUUAAGGUUAAAAACAGGGAUUUCGAUGAAAAUAAGCGAUAUAUUAGGGUUGAAAGCAGGGAUUUCUAUGAAAAUAAGCGAUAUUUUAGGGUUAAAAACAGGGAUUUCGACGAAAAUAAGGGAUGUUUAAGGGGAAAAACAGGGAUUUCUAUGAAAAUAAGCGAUAUUUAAGGGUUAAAAACUGGGAUUUCGAUGAAAAUAAGCGAUAUUUAAGGUUAAAAACAGGGAUUUCCAUGAAAAUAAGCGAUAUUUAAGGGGAAAAACAGGGAUUUCUAUGAAAAUAAGCGAUAUUUAAGGGGAAAAACAGGGAUUUCUAUGAAAAUAAGCGAUAUUUUUGGGUUAAAAACAGGGAUUUUGAUGAAAAUAAGCGAUAUUUUUGGGUUAAAAACAGGGAUUUCCAUGAAAAUAAGCGAUAUUUAAGGGGAAAAACAGGGAUUUCCAUGAAAAUAAGCGAUAUUUUAGGGGAAAAACAGGGAUUUCUAUGAAAAUAAGCGAUAUUUUUGGGUUAAAAACAGGGAUUUUGAUGAAAAUAAGCGAUAUUUAAGGGGAAAAACAGGGAUUUCUAUGAAAAUAAGCGAUAUUUUUGGGUUAAAAACAGGGAUUUUGAUGAAAAUAAGCGAUAUUUUAGGGUUAAAAACAGGGAUUUCCAUGAAAAUAAGCGAUAUUUAAGGGGAAAAACAGGGAUUUCUAUGAAAAUAAGCGAUAUUUUAGGGUUAAAAACAGGGAUUUCUAUGAAAAUAAGCGAUAUUUCUGGGUUAAAAACAGGGAUAUCUAUGAAAAUAAGCGAUAUUUAAGGUUAAAAACAGGGAUUUCUAUGAAAAUAAGCGAUAUUUUUGGGUUAAAAACGGGGAUUUUGAUGAAAAUAAGCGAUAUUUUUGGGUUAAAAACAGGGAUUUUGAUGAAAAUAAGCGAUAUUUAAGGGGAAAAACAGGGAUUUCUAUGAAAAUAAGCGAUAUUUUAGGUUAAAAACAGGGAUUUCUAUGAAAAUAAGCGAUAUUUAAGGUUAAAAAUAGGGAUUUCUAUGAAAAUAAGCGAUAUUUUAGGGGAAAAACAGGGAUUUCCAUGAAAAUAAGCGAUAUUUUAGGGGGAAAAACAGGGAUUUCCAUGAAAAUAAGCGAUAUUUUAGGGUUAAAAACAGGGAUUUCUAUGAAAAUAAGCGAUAUUUUAAGGGGAAAAACAGAUUUCUAUGAAAAUAAGCGAUAUUUUAAUUGGAAAAACAGGUAUUUCUAUGAAAAUAAGCGUUAUUUUUGGGUUAAAAACAGGGAUUUUGAUGAAAAUAAGCGAUAUUUUAAGGGGAAAAACAGAUUUCUAUGAAAAUAAGCGAUAUUUUAAUUGGAAAAACAGGUAUUUCUAUGAAAAUAAGCGUUAUUUUUGGGUUAAAAACAGGGAUUUUGAUGAAAAUAAGCGAUAUUUUUGGGUUAAAAACAGGGAUUUCUAUGAAAAUAAGCGAUAUUUUUGGGUUAAAAACAGGGAUUUCGAUGAAAAUAAGCGAUAUUUUAGGGUUAAAAACAGGGAUUUCCAUGAAAGUAAGCGAUAUUUAAGGGGAAAAACAGGGAUUUCCAUGAAAAUAAGCGAUAUUUUUGGGUUAAAAACAGGGAUUUCGAUGAAAAUAAGCGAUAUUUUUGGAUUAAAAACAAGGAUUUCGAUGAAAAUAAGCGAUAUUUUAGGGUUAAAAACAGGGAUUUCGAUGAAAAUAAGCGAUAUUUUAGGGUUAAAAACAGGGAUUUCCAUGAAAAUAAGCGAUAUUUUAGGGUUAAAAACAGGGAUUUCGACGAAAAUAAGGGAUGUUUAAGGGGAAAAAAUGGGAUUUCGACGAAAAUAAGCGAUAUUUAAGGGUUAAAAACUGGGAUUUCCAUGAAAAUAAGCGAUAAUUUAGGGUUAAAAACAGGGAUUUCCUAUGAAAAUAAGCGAUAUUUUAGGGUUAAAAACAGGGAUUUCCAUGAAAAUAAGCGAUAUUUUAAGGGGAAAAACAGGGAUUUCCAUGAAAAUAAGCGAUAUUUUUGGGUUAAAAACAGGGAUUUCUAUGAAAAUAAGCGAUAUUUUAGGGGAAAAACAGGGAUUUCCAUGAAAAUAAGCGAUAUUUAAGGGGAAAAACAGGGAUUUCGAUGAAAAUAAGCGUUAUUUUUGGGUUAAAAACAGGGAUUUUGAUGAAAAUAAGCGAUAUUUUAGGUUAAAAACAGGGAUUUCUAUGAAAAUAAGCGAUAUUUUUGGAUUAAAAACAGGGAUUUUGAUGAAAAUAAGCGAUAUUUUAGGUUAAAAACAGGGAUUUUGAUGAAAAUAAGCGAUAUUUCUGGGUUAAAAACAGGGAUUUUGAUGAAAAUAAGCGAUAUUUUUGGGUUAAAAACAGGGAUUUCUAUGAAAAUAAGCGAUAUUUUAGGGGAAAAACAGGGAUUUCUAUGAAAAUAAGCGAUAUUUAAGGGGAAAAACAGGGAUUUCUAUGAAAAUAAGCGAUAUUUUUGGGUUAAAAACAGGGAUUUCUAUGAAAAUAAGCGAUAUUUUAGGGUUAAAAACAGGGAUUUCCAUGAAAAUAAGCAAUAUUUAAGGGGAAAAACAGUAUUUCAGCAUCAUCCCAAUAUCUCCACUGUGAUCACGUCCAUCCCUGUGACGCUCUCUGAUGUCAAUCCCAAGUGAUUUUCCAACAUCUCUCCGGUGUCAUCUCACCGAUUUCAUCCCCAUCACCCCUGUGUCACUCCAGCAACAUUAACCCAGCGUCACUCUCUGAUAUCAGCCCCAAUGAUGCCCCAACAUCACCUACCAACAUCACUGACACAUCAUAGAGUAUCGCCUCCCACCAUCUCCCCAGUAACGUCCCCCCCCCACAUCACCCCUUUAUCUCAUCGCUCAACAUCAGCCUACAGCAUGACUGCACAACAUCAACCCAGCAUCACUCCAGUGUCACAGCAGUGCACCCCCACCAGUGUCACCCCAACGUCACUCCCUGAUGCCAUCCUUGAGUGAAACCCCGACGUCAUCCUAGUCUCAUUGCAUUGUAACCUCCCAGCUUCACUCUAACAACAUCACCCCGCAAAAACCCCCCAACAUCACCCUUACCAUUAAUUACCUACUGUAAUGUUGCAGUAUGAUGGAAAAUGCAACAACAGUAGCAGAGAAGCAAAGUCCCAGGUUGUAGUAAGUGAGGAUGUGCUCAAACACAGCAGCCGUAAACACAGAAACAGAACAAAAACCUGCCUACCUUUGGAAGACCUCCUGCAAGCACAGACCUCUAGCCAAAGCCCCUCACUUCUGAUGCCAAUGCUUAUAUGAGACCCGGGAGGGGGUGGAGCCUGGCUCCACCCCCUUCCAUCACUC
Lagopus muta (rock ptarmigan) is the source of this 8483-nucleotide long non-coding RNA. RefSeq lists it as uncharacterized. NCBI's taxonomy places the organism in Eukaryota, Metazoa, Chordata, Aves, Galliformes, Phasianidae. The transcript has 3 exons. The record is from RefSeq and is a predicted model, not a curated record.